This 546-nucleotide ribosomal RNA is filed under the name uncultured archaeon. RNAcentral describes it as "bacterial SSU rRNA". It matches the Rfam family "Archaeal small subunit ribosomal RNA", at positions 325 to 873 of the family's 1478-position model. The record is from RNAcentral.
ACGGGGUGCAGCAGGCGCGAAACCUCCACAAUGCGCGAAAGCGUGAUGGGGUUAUCCCGAGUGCCGUCCGAUGAGGAUGGCUUUUCAUCGGUGUAAGGAUCCGAUGGAAUAAAGGGGGGGCAAGACUGGUGUCAGCCGCCGCGGUAAUACCAGCCCCCUGAGUGGUAAGGACGAUUAUUUGGCCUAAAGCGUUCGUAGCCGGCUUAUCAAGUCUUUUGUUAAAUCCAACGAUUCAAUCGUUGGGCCGCAAAAGAUACUGUUAUGCUAGAGGACGGGAGAGGUCGACGGUAGUCCAGGGGUAGGGGUGAAAUCCUAUAAUCCUUGGAGGACCACCAGUGGCGAAGGCGGUCGACUAGAACGUGCCUGACGGUGAGGGACGAAAGCUGGGGGAGCGAACCGGAUUAGAUACCCGGGUAGUCCCAGCCGUAAACGAUGCGGGCUAGGUGUUGGGGCAGCCACGAGCUGCUCCAGUGCCGCAGAGAAGUUGUUAAGCCCGCCGCCUGGGGAGUACGGCCGCAAGGCUGAAACUUAAAGGAAUUGGCGGGG